RNAcentral lists this non-coding RNA (23 nucleotides) under Gallus gallus (chicken). The record is from miRBase by way of RNAcentral. Lineage: Eukaryota; Metazoa; Chordata; Aves; Galliformes; Phasianidae.
UUGCUGGGCUGGGGGAAGAGGAU